RNAcentral lists this ribosomal RNA (464 nucleotides) under uncultured bacterium. Its description in RNAcentral is "partial 16S ribosomal RNA". It matches the Rfam family "Bacterial small subunit ribosomal RNA", at positions 339 to 795 of the family's 1533-position model. The record is from RNAcentral.
CUACGGGAGGCUGCAGUGAGGAAUUUUGCGCAAUGGGGGAAACCCUGACGCAGCAACGCCGCGUGAGUGAUGAAGGCCUUCGGGUCGUAAAGCUCUGUCAAGUGGGAAGAACCCACCCUGUGCUAAUAUCACAGGGUGCUGACGGUACCACUGAAGGAAGCACCGGCUAACUCCGUGCCAGCAGCCGCGGUAAUACGGAGGGUGCAAGCGUUAUUCGGAAUUACUGGGCGUAAAGGGCGCGUAGGCGGCCUUUUAAGUCAGAUGUGAAAUCCCGGGGCUCAACCCCGGAAGUGCAUCUGAACUAAGAGGCUUGAGUAUGGGAGAGGGAAGUGGAAUUCCUGGUGUAGAGGUGAAAUUCGUAGAUAUCAGGAGGAACACCGGUGGCGAAGGCGACUUCCUGGACCAAUACUGACGCUGAGGCGCGAAGGCGUGGGGAGCAAACAGGAUUAGAUACCCGGGUAGUC